Molecule: ribosomal RNA, 2846 nt
Filed under: Salmonella enterica subsp. enterica serovar Infantis
Lineage: Bacteria; Pseudomonadati; Pseudomonadota; Gammaproteobacteria; Enterobacterales; Enterobacteriaceae
Description: bacterial LSU rRNA
Rfam family: Bacterial large subunit ribosomal RNA
Source: RNAcentral
AGCGUACACGGUGGAUGCCCUGGCAGUCAGAGGCGAUGAAGGGCGUGCUAAUCUGCGAUAAGCGCCGGUAAGGUGAUAUGAACCGUUAUAACCGGCGAUACCCGAAUGGGGAAACCCAGUGUGACUCGUCACACUAUCAUUAACUGAAUCCAUAGGUUAAUGAGGCGAACCGGGGGAACUGAAACAUCUAAGUACCCCGAGGAAAAGAAAUCAACCGAGAUUCCCCCAGUAGCGGCGAGCGAACGGGGAGGAGCCCAGAGCCUGAAUCAGCAUGUGUGUUAGUGGAAGCGUCUGGAAAGGCGCGCGAUACAGGGUGACAGCCCCGUACACAAAAGCGCAUGUGCUGUGAGCUCGAUGAGUAGGGCGGGACACGUGGUAUCCUGUCUGAAUAUGGGGGGACCAUCCUCCAAGGCUAAAUACUCCUGACUGACCGAUAGUGAACCAGUACCGUGAGGGAAAGGCGAAAAGAACCCCGGCGAGGGGAGUGAAAAAGAACCUGAAACCGUGUACGUACAAGCAGUGGGAGCNNGUGACUGCGUACCUUUUGUAUAAUGGGUCAGCGACUUAUAUUCUGUAGCAAGGUUAACCGAAUAGGGGAGCCGGAGGGAAACCGAGUCUUAAUUGGGCGUUAAGUUGCAGGGUAUAGACCCGAAACCCGGUGAUCUAGCCAUGGGCAGGUUGAAGGUUGGGUAACACUAACUGGAGGACCGAACCGACUAAUGUUGAAAAAUUAGCGGAUGACCUGUGGCUGGGGGUGAAAGGCCAAUCAAACCGGGAGAUAGCUGGUUCUCCCCGAAAGCUAUUUAGGUAGCGCCUCGUGAAUUCAUCUCCGGGGGUAGAGCACUGUUUCGGCUAGGGGGCCAUCCCGGCUUACCAACCCGAUGCAAACUGCGAAUACCGGAGAAUGUUAUCACGGGAGACACACGGCGGGUGCUAACGUCCGUCGUGAAGAGGGAAACAACCCAGACCGCCAGCUAAGGUCCCAAAGUCAUGGUUAAGUGGGAAACGAUGUGGGAAGGCCCAGACAGCCAGGAUGUUGGCUUAGAAGCAGCCAUCAUUUAAAGAAAGCGUAAUAGCUCACUGGUCGAGUCGGCCUGCGCGGAAGAUGUAACGGGGCUAAACCAUGCACCGAAGCUGCGGCAGCGAACGUAUCACUUAAAGCGAUUCAGCGGGUUACGAUUGACGGAGCGAAGCGACGUCAAAGCGUAUACAAAGUCGAGUCGGUUUAAGGAUACGUUCGUUGGGUAGGGGAGCGUUCUGUAAGCCUGCGAAGGUGGCCUGUGAGGGUUGCUGGAGGUAUCAGAAGUGCGAAUGCUGACAUAAGUAACGAUAAAGCGGGUGAAAAGCCCGCUCGCCGGAAGACCAAGGGUUCCUGUCCAACGUUAAUCGGGGCAGGGUGAGUCGACCCCUAAGGCGAGGCCGAAAGGCGUAGUCGAUGGGAAACGGGUUAAUAUUCCCGUACUUGGUGUUACUGCGAAGGGGGGACGGAGAAGGCUAUGUUGGCCGGGCGACGGUUGUCCCGGUUUAAGCGUGUAGGUGUGUGUUCCAGGUAAAUCCGGUUCACUUUAACACUGAGGCGUGAUGACGAGGCACUACGGUGCUGAAGCAACAAAUGCCCUGCUUCCAGGAAAAGCCUCUAAGCAUCAGGUAACAUCAAAUCGUACCCCAAACCGACACAGGUGGUCAGGUAGAGAAUACCAAGGCGCUUGAGAGAACUCGGGUGAAGGAACUAGGCAAAAUGGUGCCGUAACUUCGGGAGAAGGCACGCUGACACGUAGGUGAAGUGAUUUACUCAUGGAGCUGAAGUCAGUCGAAGAUACCAGCUGGCUGCAACUGUUUAUUAAAAACACAGCACUGUGCAAACACGAAAGUGGACGUAUACGGUGUGACGCCUGCCCGGUGCCGGAAGGUUAAUUGAUGGGGUCAGCGCAAGCGAAGCUCCUGAUCGAAGCCCCGGUAAACGGCGGCCGUAACUAUAACGGUCCUAAGGUAGCGAAAUUCCUUGUCGGGUAAGUUCCGACCUGCACGAAUGGCGUAAUGAUGGCCAGGCUGUCUCCACCCGAGACUCAGUGAAAUUGAACUCGCUGUGAAGAUGCAGUGUACCCGCGGCAAGACGGAAAGACCCCGUGAACCUUUACUAUAGCUUGACACUGAACAUUGAGCCUUGAUGUGUAGGAUAGGUGGGAGGCUUUGAAGCGUGGACGCCAGUCUGCGUGGAGCCGACCUUGAAAUACCACCCUUUAAUGUUUGAUGUUCUAACGUGGACCCGUAAUCCGGGUUGCGGACAGUGUCUGGUGGGUAGUUUGACUGGGGCGGUCUCCUCCUAAAGAGUAACGGAGGAGCACGAAGGUUGGCUAAUCCUGGUCGGACAUCAGGAGGUUAGUGCAAUGGCAUAAGCCAGCUUGACUGCGAGCGUGACGGCGCGAGCAGGUGCGAAAGCAGGUCAUAGUGAUCCGGUGGUUCUGAAUGGAAGGGCCAUCGCUCAACGGAUAAAAGGUACUCCGGGGAUAACAGGCUGAUACCGCCCAAGAGUUCAUAUCGACGGCGGUGUUUGGCACCUCGAUGUCGGCUCAUCACAUCCUGGGGCUGAAGUAGGUCCCAAGGGUAUGGCUGUUCGCCAUUUAAAGUGGUACGCGAGCUGGGUUUAGAACGUCGUGAGACAGUUCGGUCCCUAUCUGCCGUGGGCGCUGGAGAACUGAGGGGGGCUGCUCCUAGUACGAGAGGACCGGAGUGGACGCAUCACUGGUGUUCGGGUUGUCAUGCCAAUGGCACUGCCCGGUAGCUAAAUGCGGAAGAGAUAAGUGCUGAAAGCAUCUAAGCACGAAACUUGCCCCGAGAUGAGUUCU